AGUGAACGCUGGCGGUAGGCCUAACACAUGCAAGUCGAACGGCAGCACAGUAAGAGCUUGCUCUUACGGGUGGCGAGUGGCGGACGGGUGAGGAAUACAUCGGAAUCUACUUUUUCGUGGGGGAUAACGUAGGGAAACUUACGCUAAUACCGCAUACGACCUACGGGUGAAAGCAGGGGAUCUUCGGACCUUGCGCGAUUGAAUGAGCCGAUGUCGGAUUAGCUAGUUGGCGGGGUAAAGGCCCACCAAGGCGACGAUCCGUAGCUGGUCUGAGAGGAUGAUCAGCCACACUGGAACGGAGACAGGGUCCAGACUCCUACGAGAGGCAGCAGUGGGGAAUAUUAGACAAUGGGGGCAAGCCUGAUCCAGCCAUACCGCGUGGGUGAAGAAGGCCUUCGGGUUGUAAAGCCCUUUUGUUGGGAAAGAAAAGCAGCAGGUUAAUACCCCGCUGUUCUGACGGUACCCAAAGAAUAAGCACCGGCUAACUUCGUG
This 492-nucleotide ribosomal RNA is filed under the name uncultured bacterium. RNAcentral describes it as "partial 16S ribosomal RNA". It matches the Rfam family "Bacterial small subunit ribosomal RNA", at positions 29 to 507 of the family's 1533-position model. The record is from RNAcentral.